AAGGAAUAUUGGUCAAUGGACGAAAGUCUGAACCAGCCAUCCCGCGUGCAGGAUGACUGCCCUAUGGGUUGUAAACUGCUUUUAGUAGAGAAGAAACGCAGUCAUUUAUGAUUGCCUGACGGUACCUACAGAAUAAGCACCGGCUAACUCCGUGCCAGCAGCCGCGGUAAUACGGAGGGUGCGAGCGUUAUCCGGAAUCACUGGGUUUAAAGGGUGCGUAGGCGGGGGAUUAAGUCAGUGGUGAAAUCUUGUCGCUUAACGAUAAAAUUGCCAUUGAUACUGAUUUUCUUGAAUUGGGUUGAGGUUAGCGGAAUGUGACAUGUAGCGGUGAAAUGCAUAGAUAUGUCAUGGAACACCAAUUGCGAAGGCAGCUAGCUGGGCCUUGAGUGACGCUGAGGCACGAAAGCGUGGGUAGCGAAC
RNAcentral lists this ribosomal RNA (420 nucleotides) under uncultured bacterium. Its description in RNAcentral is "bacterial SSU rRNA". It matches the Rfam family "Bacterial small subunit ribosomal RNA", at positions 356 to 773 of the family's 1533-position model. The record is from RNAcentral.